GUGAAUCAUCGAAUCUUUGAACGCAAAUUGCACUCUCUUCGGAGAGUAUGCCUGUUUGAGGGUCAGCAUUAAUAAAAAUCGGAGUGUUGCUUCUUUGUGAUGAUCCGGAGUUUGGGUCAUCUUAAUAUCCUUCAGGUUUUAAGAGGCUUAAUAUCGACUUUUUUUGCGUUUUAUAGAUGUACAUAAAUUCUUUUUUUUUUUCGUCUGUCUUAAUGCUCAAUUUCCUAUUAGAUGCGUC
This 238-nucleotide unclassified non-coding RNA is filed under the name Rhizophagus sp. (in: glomeromycetes). RNAcentral describes it as "partial contains 5.8S ribosomal RNA and internal transcribed spacer 2". The stretch from base 1 to 65 matches the Rfam family "5.8S ribosomal RNA", at positions 84 to 154 of the family's 154-position model. Lineage: Eukaryota; Fungi; Glomeromycota; Glomeromycetes; Glomerales; Glomeraceae. The record is from RNAcentral.